UUGGCCUUGAAUAAAGCCCAGCAGUUUGCUGACACUUAGUUUCAAGCAGGAGCCUAAAAAAUUAUUGUUCUGUGGUUUGUAGGCCACUUCAGAACUUUGGAAUUGUAAUGGUCAUUUCAUUAGAAAGAAACAUCU
Molecule: small nucleolar RNA, 135 nt
Organism: Otolemur garnettii (small-eared galago)
Lineage: Eukaryota; Metazoa; Chordata; Mammalia; Primates; Galagidae
Source: Ensembl